GUGGGGAAUAUUCGACAAUGGGCGAAAGCCUGAUCCAGCCAUGCCGCGUGUGUGAAGAAGGUCUUCGGAUUCUAAAGCACUUUAAGUGGGAGGAAGGGCCGUUACACUAAUACGUGAUGCUUGACGUACUGACAGCGACC
Molecule: ribosomal RNA, 140 nt
Filed under: uncultured bacterium
Lineage: Bacteria
Description: partial 16S ribosomal RNA
Rfam family: Bacterial small subunit ribosomal RNA
Source: RNAcentral